CGUGCUAAUCUGCGAUAAGCGCCGGUAAGGUGAUAUGAACCGUUAUAACCGGCGAUACCCGAAUGGGGAAACCCAGUGUGAUUCGUCACACUAUCAUUAACUGAAUCCAUAGGUUAAUGAGGCGAACCGGGGGAACUGAAACAUCUAAGUACCCCGAGGAAAAGAAAUCAACCGAGAUUCCCCCAGUAGCGGCGAGCGAACGGGGAGGAGCCCAGAGCCUGAAUCAGCAUGUGUGUUAGUGGAAGCGUCUGGAAAGGCGCGCGAUACAGGGUGACAGCCCCGUACACAAAAGCGCAUGUGCUGUGAGCUCGAUGAGUAGGGCGGGACACGUGGUAUCCUGUCUGAAUAUGGGGGGACCAUCCUCCAAGGCUAAAUACUCCUGACUGACCGAUAGUGAACCAGUACCGUGAGGGAAAGGCGAAAAGAACCCCGGCGAGGGGAGUGAAAAAGAACCUGAAACCGUGUACGUACAAGCAGUGGGAGCACAGGUUUACCUGUGUGACUGCGUACCUUUUGUAUAAUGGGUCAGCGACUUAUAUUCUGUAGCAAGGUUAACCGAAUAGGGGAGCCGGAGGGAAACCGAGUCUUAAUUGGGCGUUAAGUUGCAGGGUAUAGACCCGAAACCCGGUGAUCUAGCCAUGGGCAGGUUGAAGGUUGGGUAACACUAACUGGAGGACCGAACCGACUAAUGUUGAAAAAUUAGCGGAUGACCUGUGGCUGGGGGUGAAAGGCCAAUCAAACCGGGAGAUAGCUGGUUCUCCCCGAAAGCUAUUUAGGUAGCGCCUCGUGAAUUCAUCUCCGGGGGUAGAGCACUGUUUCGGCUAGGGGGCCAUCCCGGCUUACCAACCCGAUGCAAACUGCGAAUACCGGAGAAUGUUAUCACGGGAGACACACGGCGGGUGCUAACGUCCGUCGUGAAGAGGGAAACAACCCAGACCGCCAGCUAAGGUCCCAAAGUCAUGGUUAAGUGGGAAACGAUGUGGGAAGGCCCAGACAGCCAGGAUGUUGGCUUAGAAGCAGCCAUCAUUUAAAGAAAGCGUAAUAGCUCACUGGUCGAGUCGGCCUGCGCGGAAGAUGUAACGGGGCUAAACCAUGCACCGAAGCUGCGGCAGCGAACGUAUCACCCAAGACAACUUUACGGAGUUGACGAUUGACGGAGCGAAGCGACGUCAAAGCGUUCAUUAAAGUCGAGUUGGCUUAGGGAUACGUUCGUUGGGUAGGGGAGCGUUCUGUAAGCCUGUGAAGGUGUGUCGUGAGGC
This 1259-nucleotide ribosomal RNA is filed under the name Salmonella enterica subsp. enterica. Its description in RNAcentral is "partial 23S ribosomal RNA". It matches the Rfam family "Bacterial large subunit ribosomal RNA", at positions 57 to 1269 of the family's 2925-position model. Lineage: Bacteria; Pseudomonadati; Pseudomonadota; Gammaproteobacteria; Enterobacterales; Enterobacteriaceae. The record is from RNAcentral.